Molecule: ribosomal RNA, 1389 nt
Filed under: Achromobacter aegrifaciens
Lineage: Bacteria; Pseudomonadati; Pseudomonadota; Betaproteobacteria; Burkholderiales; Alcaligenaceae
Description: bacterial SSU rRNA
Rfam family: Bacterial small subunit ribosomal RNA
Source: RNAcentral
UGGUGGGGAACUUACCAUGCAGUCGAACGGCAGCACGGACUUCGGUGCUGGUGGCGAGGUGGCGAACGGGUGAGUAAUGUAUCGGAACGUGCCCAGUAGCGGGGGAUAACUACGCGAAAGCGUAGCUAAUACCGCAUACGCCCUACGGGGGAAAGCAGGGGAUCGCAAGACCUUGCACUAUUGGAGCGGCCGAUAUCGGAUUAGCUAGUUGGUGGGGUAACGGCUCACCAAGGCGACGAUCCGUAGCUGGUUUGAGAGGACGACCAGCCACACUGGGACUGAGACACGGCCCAGACUCCUACGGGAGGCAGCAGUGGGGAAUUUUGGACAAUGGGGGAAACCCUGAUCCAGCCAUCCCGCGUGUGCGAUGAAGGCCUUCGGGUUGUAAAGCACUUUUGGCAGGAAAGAAACGUCAUGGGUUAAUACCCCGUGAAACUGACGGUACCUGCAGAAUAAGCACCGGCUAACUACGUGCCAGCAGCCGCGGUAAUACGUAGGGUGCAAGCGUUAAUCGGAAUUACUGGGCGUAAAGCGUGCGCAGGCGGUUCGGAAAGAAAGAUGUGAAAUCCCAGAGCUUAACUUUGGAACUGCAUUUUUAACUACCGGGCUAGAGUGUGUCAGAGGGAGGUGGAAUUCCGCGUGUAGCAGUGAAAUGCGUAGAUAUGCGGAGGAACACCGAUGGCGAAGGCAGCCUCCUGGGAUAACACUGACGCUCAUGCACGAAAGCGUGGGGAGCAAACAGGAUUAGAUACCCUGGUAGUCCACGCCCUAAACGAUGUCAACUAGCUGUUGGGGCCUUCGGGCCUUGGUAGCGCAGCUAACGCGUGAAGUUGACCGCCUGGGGAGUACGGUCGCAAGAUUAAAACUCAAAGGAAUUGACGGGGACCCGCACAAGCGGUGGAUGAUGUGGAUUAAUUCGAUGCAACGCGAAAAACCUUACCUACCCUUGACAUGUCUGGAAUCCUGAAGAGAUUUAGGAGUGCUCGCAAGAGAACCGGAACACAGGUGCUGCAUGGCUGUCGUCAGCUCCCCCUCGUGAGAUGUUGGGUUAAGUCCCGCAACGAGCGCAACCCUUGUCAUUAGUUGCUACGACAGGGCACUCUAAUGAGACUGCCGGUGACAAACCGGAGGAAGGUGGGAGAUGACGUCAAGUCCUCAUGGCCCUUAUGGGUAGGGCUUCACACGUCAUACAAUGGUCGGGACAGAGGGUCGCCAACCCGCGAGGGGGAGCCAAUCCCAGAAACCCGAUCGUAGUCCGGAUCGCAGUCUGCAACUCGACUGCGUGAAGUCGGAAAUCGCUAGUAAUCGCGGAUCAGCAUGUCGCGGUGAUACGUUGCCCGCGUCUUGUACACACCCGCCCGGUCACAACCCAUGCGAAGUGGGUGUUCA